GAUCAUGGCUCAGGAUGAACGCUGGCUGUGUGCCUAAUACAUGCAUGUCGAGCGGAAGUAGCAAUACUUUAGCGGCGAAUGGGUGAGUAACACGUGCUUAAUCUACCUCUUAGAUUGGAAUACCUAAUGGAAACAUUGGUUAAUGCCGGAUACGCAUGGAGUCGCAUGACUCCGUUGUGAAAGGGGCCUUUAAAGCUCCACUAGGAGAUGAGGGUGCGGAACAUUAG
This 227-nucleotide ribosomal RNA is filed under the name uncultured bacterium. RNAcentral describes it as "partial 16S ribosomal RNA". It matches the Rfam family "Bacterial small subunit ribosomal RNA", at positions 15 to 244 of the family's 1533-position model. The record is from RNAcentral.